RNAcentral lists this transfer RNA (73 nucleotides) under Oceaniovalibus guishaninsula JLT2003. It matches the Rfam family "tRNA". From Rfam's summary of the family: Transfer RNA (tRNA) molecules are approximately 80 nucleotides in length. Their secondary structure includes four short double-helical elements and three loops (D, anti-codon, and T loops). The record is from Rfam by way of RNAcentral. Lineage: Bacteria; Pseudomonadati; Pseudomonadota; Alphaproteobacteria; Rhodobacterales; Roseobacteraceae.
GCCGGUGUAGCUCAGCUGGUAGAGCAGCGGUUUUGUAAACCGAAGGUCGGGGGUUCGAACCCCUCCACCGGCA